RNAcentral lists this unclassified non-coding RNA (289 nucleotides) under uncultured fungus. Its description in RNAcentral is "partial contains 18S rRNA, ITS1, 5.8S rRNA, ITS2 and 28S rRNA". Lineage: Eukaryota; Fungi. The record is from RNAcentral.
AAGGAUCAUUAACACGUUUUCGUUCCAAAAAAACGUUUUCUUUGACCCAUUUAUUUUCUGUGCACCCCCUUCGAAACCGGCCUCCUGAGCGGUCCUCCGGGUUUACUCGGAUGUGAUCUGUUCGGGCGUCUUUGGGGAUCAACAGACAGGGUGUCACAACCCAGUUUGCCUCUUAGGCGUUGCCAUCAACCCAAACCCUUUAAUCUAAUUGUCUGAACUCGAAGUUGAAUGUAACAGUUCAACGACUUAAAAUCAAUAACAACUCUUAACAACGGAUAUCUUGGUUCUC